CAGCCGCACUCGCGCCGCCCCCUUCCUUUUCCUCCCGCCUUACCUCUCUCUCCUUCCAAACCCUAGGCCCGAGCCCGUCGUCGCUGCUCUGUCCGAGCCCGCCGCCGCUGCUUCCUCCUUCCCCGCUGGCGCCCGGCCUCCUCCCCUCACGUCCUCCUCCUUCUACCCCCUCCCGCCCCGGCCCCGGCUCCCGCGGGAGGGAAGAAGGAAUGGCGAGGCGAGGCAAAGGUGGCGGCGUAUGGGGCGCGGCGCGGGCGGCGUGGCCCAGGGGGUCGGCGCGGCCGCAGCUUCUCGUCGUCUCCGCCGUCGCUUGGGCGCUGGUCCUCCUUGCCUUCCACCUCUGGUCCUGCGACGCGUGGUUGCUCGACGCCACCAUGGUGGUUUUCUUCGGCAGUCGGGGUCAACAGAGUAGGGUUUCAUGCCAUGGUCGUUUCUUGGUACGUGGAUGUUGUUCCUUAGAUGUGGAAAAAGAAUGGAGCAGGAGGAAAAGAGGAAGGAGAAGCCCUGUCACCUCCAUGCCCGUGCACUGCUUCCUGCUCACCUGCAGUAGGUAUGAAUCAAGUUCCUAAUUAAUUCUACAAGCCAUGGGGCAAGUAGCAGCUUGAUGCUGUUGUUUUUGGUAAAAAAAUCCCCUAUUGUUUCACUGCUGGCCUAUGUUGAAGUUUGUUAUAGCUUGUUGUUGAUUUGAUCAAUGUGCUGAAAGCAGUUGAUCUUAGUUCUCAUAUGUAGAUGCAGUAUUUCUUUUCGUUUAUGGGAAAGAGCACUAGCUAGAACUGACAUAUCUCUCUCAUGAGGUGUGCUUUUGCUAUGUCCAAAACUACAGCAUCCUCCAUCAUCCCCUUUUGGAUGUUCAGUUUACUGUACGAGUCAAUAUGGCUUUGAUUUUUAAAUCAGCUUCAAAGGUUGCUUUCACAAUCCUUUGAUGUUCAGUUUACUGCACGAGUCACUGAGGGAUUGCUGUUAAUUUGCCUCACGAUUCUGUUGCUAGGUACAAUUCUUUUAUUAGGUUGUUCUCUCUAUGUGAGCAAAUUUGUAUUAUUUGCAGUGGACAAUGUAUAGUUCAAUUUUCUUGAAUUUUGCUGUCAUGUAUGUGUUACUUGGAAAUUUGGCCCUAGAGCAUAUGCUUGGGCAUUGUUCAGCAUUGCAGAAUAAUUGUUUGAUGUAUGUGGCGUUCUCUAUUUUGUGGAAAGAAGGGAAGAGUAAUAUGCAUAUGGGCGGUUGUUGAAUCGAGAUCCAAUCCAACGACUGGGAGAGUUGACACAGAGCGAAGCCCAACCCCCGAGAAAAUAAGAGAUGCCAACGAUAUGAUUAGGCGCACAUAUACGAGUGCGUUUAUGACGACACUUGCACCAGGAGAGAGGAGAUCCUCAAGCCAUUGCAGCUAUCUUUUCUGCCUCAAUCUGAUUUAGCUCUGCGCUUUCCCACCCAUGCCCGGUCUCUUGCCGCAGCAGCCAUCUUUCUUCUUGUCCGUUCAGCCUCCUUCCUCUUCAUAGCAACAGAAUAUUGUGCUUUGCGCUUCCUCUUCUCAGCCUGC
Long non-coding RNA from Triticum dicoccoides, 1534 nucleotides. RefSeq lists it as uncharacterized. The transcript has 3 exons. The record is from RefSeq and is a predicted model, not a curated record. Lineage: Eukaryota; Viridiplantae; Streptophyta; Magnoliopsida; Poales; Poaceae.